Molecule: ribosomal RNA, 253 nt
Filed under: uncultured bacterium
Lineage: Bacteria
Description: partial 16S ribosomal RNA
Rfam family: Bacterial small subunit ribosomal RNA
Source: RNAcentral
GACGUAGGUGGCAAGCGUUGUCCGGAAUUAUUGGGCGUAAAGCGCGCGCAGGCGGCCUCUUAAGUCUGAUGUGAAAGCCCCCGGCUCAACCGGGGAGGGCCAUUGGAAACUGGGAGGCUUGAGUAUAGGAGAGAAGAGUGGAAUUCCACGUGUAGCGGUGAAAUGCGUAGAGAUGUGGAGGAACACCAGUGGCGAAGGCGACUCUUUGGCCUAUAACUGACGCUGAGGCGCGAAAGCGUGGGGAGCAAACAGG